RNAcentral lists this ribosomal RNA (112 nucleotides) under Caerostris darwini. The record is from RNAcentral. Lineage: Eukaryota; Metazoa; Arthropoda; Arachnida; Araneae; Araneidae.
AACGGCCGUACCAUGCUCAAUAUACCGGUUCUCGUUAGAUCACCGAAGUUAAGCAGCAUUGGGCGCGGUCAGUACUUGGGUGGGUGACCACCUGGGAACACUGCGUGCCGUU